CCUACGGGAGGCAGCAGUGGGGAAUAUUGCACAAUGGGCGAAAGCCUGAUGCAGCCAUGCCGCGUGUGUGAAGAAGGCCUUCGGGUUGUAAAGCACUUUCAGUUGUGAGGAAAGGGAUGUAGUUAAUAGCGGCAAGCUCUGACAUUACCUUUAGAAGAAGCACCGGCUAACUCCGUGCCAGCAGCCGCGGUAAUACGGAGGGUGCGAGCGUUAAUCGGAAUUACUGGGCGUAAAGCGCGCGUAGGCGGUUUGUUAAGUCAGCUGUGAAAGCCCCGGGCUCAACCUGGGAACUGCAGUUGAUACUGGCCGACUAGAGUACGAGAGAGGGAGGUAGAAUUCCAUGUGUAGCGGUGAAAUGCGUAGAUAUAUGGAGGAAUACCAGUGGCGAAGGCGGCCUCCUGGCUCGAUACUGACACUGAGGUGCGAAAGCGUGGGGAGCGAACAGGAUUAGAUACCCUGGUAGUCCACGCCGUAAACGAUGUCAACUAGCCGUUCGUGGACUUGAUCCGUGAGUGGCGCAGCUAACGCACUAAGUUGACCGCCUGGGGAGUACGGCCGCAAGGUUAAAACUCAAAUGAAUUGACGG
Molecule: ribosomal RNA, 586 nt
Filed under: uncultured Gammaproteobacteria bacterium
Lineage: Bacteria; Pseudomonadati; Pseudomonadota; Gammaproteobacteria
Description: bacterial SSU rRNA
Rfam family: Bacterial small subunit ribosomal RNA
Source: RNAcentral